Molecule: ribosomal RNA, 159 nt
Filed under: Aclees taiwanensis
Lineage: Eukaryota; Metazoa; Arthropoda; Insecta; Coleoptera; Curculionidae
Also listed under: 1 other name
Description: partial small subunit ribosomal RNA
Rfam family: Eukaryotic small subunit ribosomal RNA
Source: RNAcentral
CCAGGAGUGUGGUGCAUGGCCGUUCUUAGUUGGUGGAGCGAUUUGUCUGGUUAAUUCCGAUAACGAACGAGACUCUAGCCUGCUAACUAGGCGUAUUUUGACAUCCUAAAGGCCCGCCGGCUUGGGCUUCGCCUUUAGUCGUGCGCGGUUUUUACUGUC